Molecule: long non-coding RNA, 3951 nt
Filed under: Heterocephalus glaber (naked mole-rat)
Lineage: Eukaryota; Metazoa; Chordata; Mammalia; Rodentia; Bathyergidae
Description: lncRNA (ENSHGLG00100044769.1)
Source: RNAcentral
AGAAUUUUAAAUUUUGCUGCAUAUUUAUAUGUUGUUGUUCCAAGGACAUCUCGCAUUCAAUUUAAUUAAAUCAUCACUCAUCUUCCCAAGUCUGCUUUCUGUUUUGUGUUCCCCUCUCACAGAGCACAGCUGCUGGCCAUGUAAGCCAAAUUCAGAAGUAUCAUUUUUCUCCUCCGACCUCCACCUCAUAACGCUCUGCUGACCUUCCAAAUCAUCAGGGAGUUGGUUUCUCUUCUGGUAGCAGGUACUGAUGGCCUCCUACCCAGCAAACUUUCCCUCUGCCUUUGCUCUUGCUGAGAAAACUUCAGUUUUGUUCCCGUGUCUACAAGAUGCUGGAAAGCUGUGUGCCUGAGGGAACCUGGCGUCUGCCCCAAAGGAUAAAUUGAUUAGCCAGCAGCUGCUUCCCAUCGUUCUGCUGCCCUUCAUCGUGCACUGGCCCUUCACCUUCUUCUCUAGGUUUACUUCCAGACUCAUCCAGCACAGGCAGGGGUACUGGACACCCUUCUUUUUUUUAUGAAACACACACACAACAUUGCAAGCUAGAUCAUGGAUGCUAGAUUAGAUCAUAGAUGUUAGAUUACAUCUGGUUAGAAAGGGAGAACUUUUCUGUUUAGGGGGCAAAAAAUAUGCAACCUGCUAAAAGCAGAACUAGCUGGGUAUUGUGGGAUUGACUACGGGUCCUCCAUAUUCUGAAAUUCUAGAGGUUCGAUUAUCUCAUCUGCAACAUUUCUGAUGUGUGGUUACUAGAGUUGCACUCUGGAAUAACUGGAGAGAGACUCGCUUGGGAAACACACACAACUAACCCCAUCAUUUACUUAGCGUUUGAGCAAGUGUUACACAGUGCUUUGUCAUAGCCUUGUUAAUUGACGCUUGCCCAGGGCCAGGAAUAAUUUACUGGACAAGACAGAAAGGCUCUUAUUUUAUUCAUUUCUAAUGUAUCCUUGGCACGGAGCACAAUAACCUGCAGAGCUUUCAAUAUUUCUCCCUAAAUUUUUAUUUUGAAAAACUUCAAGGACGUUGGAGUCAUCGUAUCCUUCACCUGGAAUCACCAGCUGUCAACAUCUUCCCAUGUGCGGCCCUCUCCCUCUCUGCUCUCCCCACGUGAACGCACAGCCCAUAUUUCUUUCGGCUGAACGACCCGGAAACCAGCACAAAAGCUAAGUGGCUUAGUGCCCACACGGUGAGUGGGAAGGGAGAGUCGUCAAACAGGGCUGCAGACCAAGCAAGUCUUGCACUUCCUGGACUCAGUUAGCUCUUCUGCCUACUGGACAGACGGGACUUCGGGAUCUUCAAGGCAUUAUCAUUGUAAAGGUUCAUUCACAUCUGCAGUUAACUGCUAUAUACUCAGUUAUUCUGCCCCUAAUUCUACAUGCUUAUGCCUUGUGCAAGAUCAAAUUCAUAUUUUUUUCCUAACUUUAGAGAUAGGUUGGAACUGUGGAAAUGACCCCACACACCUGUCACCUGGCUGGCGGGAGCCUUUAGGUCCUGUGGCCCAUGUGUCUGUAGCUCGGGUCAGGUGUGGCUCUCCAAAGUCCUUCUCAGUGGCUGUAGGCCUCCCUGGUAACUCAUGAGGUCACCAAGCCCACCUUUUGGCUUCAGAAAUCCCUUCCUUCAGCCUCCCUCAGAGCUGGAUGUCUGUGCUGGAACUCAGAGCUCAGAGAUGCUCAGGAUGGAGACUUCCGGUGUCCUUCUGUCCAUGUUUACGCCCGUCGUGGCUCCUGAACAACACCAGGCUGUAACAUCCCUCGACCCCUUGCCUUCUGCCUACCUGGUUAUCAGUUGCUCACAUUGCCUGGGCAGUCACUUCAGCACUGCCCUUAAAUUUCCUCCAAACCCACAGCCUUCCCAAUUAUACCAGGUGUACUUGCACCAUUAUUUAGUUGCAAAUACUGCACGGCAGAGUGACAUAAGAUAGAAUGUAGAACAGCUGUGCAGGGAAACAAAAAUCAACUUGUGAGCAUUCUGCAAGGUGAGGGUACACUUUUUAGAAUAAAAAUGUGUAUUUCACUAUGUUGUAACUUGACCAAAAAACUUGUAUACUUGGUCAUACAGGAUAAUAAGGACGGGUCCUCCCAGUGGAACGAGAUCCUUGCCAACUUGCCCAUGUGAGCCUGAAAAUGUGAUACAUGAAUCGUAAAGCCUUAAUGUAUUGAGGACUGCAGAUAAGUACGUGUCCGUGUGGUGUAGUUCGAAGUUUAAGCUGAAGGAGGAACACAGUGAUUAUAGAUCACAGCUGUGACCCUGCAGAGAGUCUUGGGUAUCCAGAGUCAUGUUUGGAGAAAACAGACCGCAUGAGCUGAAGAGAGAACAAAUGCGAGUGUUUCCGGGUUUAUGGUGAUUAUGUCACAAAAGACAGAAAGGGAAGAGACAUGGAAGCCCUGGAGCAGGAGCACUUCCACAUAUCCUUCUGAUGCCCAUUCACAACCUCUCAAAAUGUGCUUUAAACCAGUUCUACUGAAACUUAUAUUGUUUUCAUUAACUAGGUGAGUAAUUUGUUAUGGAUAUGGCAAAUAAAUCAUAUGUUUUAAGUUUUAUGAAGUAUAAUAUCAUGUACUAAAAAUGCGUCCUGGGAGAUUUGGGAUGCAGAUUAAAAGCGAGAGCCUCAGGGCUUUCCAAGGGACCCUUCUUUAUGGGUUGGUGUGGUGGGAAGGAUAUAGGCUUUGAUCUACAUCCAAGUACUUGCAUUUAUUAAUUAAAUUAGCAGAAGGAAGUUACUCGAUUUUCCUCAGUUUCGUUAUUCUUAUCUAUAAAAUAGAGCUAAAAAUAAUAUCUGCCUCAUGAUGCUGUGACAAUCAAUUGAACUAAUACAUGUGAAAGCACUCUGUAAGAUUUGAAGUCCAAUAAAAAAUUACUUUUUAGAGUAAGUGCACAACAAUGUUCAUUCAUCAACAUAGAAACAAUAGUUGGCUAUAUUUAUAGUACCACUCUUCCAGAUAGAAAUACUUGUAAGGUACCUAACUGUAAAUGACUAAUAUUAAGUGUUGGUGGUUAAUGUAACCAUAAGGCUAGUUCACACUUUGAAGUAAGAAUUAUUAGAUUUCAUGGAAAGAAAACUCAAUUUCUUUUCAGGGGGUUAUCAAAUGUUUAAAAUUUGUAUAAAACUGGAUUAAUAAACCAAGCAAGGCAAACUGAAGGAGAAUCCACUGUGACAUGACAAGUUUCAGGCUAGCAAUGAACUCUCACUUCCCAGAACCCUAAAGAUCACGGAAACUGUCUGAACGUCUGCUCUCCGCUGCAGUCACCCAGGGAGCCUCAAAAGAGCCUGCUGACUGAGUCUCCCCCAGAAAUUGUGCUGUUAUCGGUCUGAAAGGAAGCCCUAGUCAUUGUGAUUUAAAAAAAAAAAAAAUACCCCAGAUGAUUAUACUAUGGAACCAAAACUGGAUCAUUGAUGUGGUCUCAACAUUUGCCGGUCUCUACCGACUGGAAGACAUAAAUGCGUAACUUUUUGGUACUAUUUUUCCAGGGACAGAGAGAUCACCUUUUACUUAAGGACGCAUAGAAGGGAGCAAGAAGGCUGGAAGAAGAUAUAAAAGAAUCUCACCAGCAUCUGAAUAUCCUCACCUUCCUCGCUUGAGGGUGUAUGUUUUGUGCACUCGAUUUCUGGAUAGUUUGAACUGCAGAAUGGGAGGAAUGGGUAAGAAGAAAGAAAAACUGAUGAACAAGAAGGAUGCAGGAGAAGGAGGUUGUUUAGGACAACUCAUGGUAGCUAAACCUUGGAAGCAGGCUCUAUGGCCACCAACAGAUGAACAACAGUACUACUCUGUCACAAAGAAGGAUGAACUUGAGUAAUUGAUGCUCCGAAUCUAUGCUUGAUGAUCACCAUGAAGAGAAAUCUUCCCCAAACCUAAUGACACACUGGCUGAGGUGGCCCGUGUGGAAACCCUUCAGCUAAUCAGCAAGACUUAAGGCGUAUUCUUCUUCUGGUGGCAGUAAGACAGAAAAGAUGCAGAC